This 483-nucleotide long non-coding RNA is filed under the name Pan troglodytes (chimpanzee). RNAcentral describes it as "long non-coding RNA NONPTRT007512". The record is from RNAcentral. Lineage: Eukaryota; Metazoa; Chordata; Mammalia; Primates; Hominidae.
AAACAGUCGCCGAACUGCCAGCAGAACUCUUGGACUGUGGAAUGCACGUCCUUCUGUCAUGGAAAACUGCAGAAAAAUAUAAUGCCAGUUCCAGACUCAGGCUUUAAGAGAAUUAGCAUCUUUCCUCCUCCUUAACUCUCUUGGAAGCCAGUCACCAUGUAAGAAAUCUUAGGCUAAACUCCUGAAUGGAGAGAGGCCUUGUGGAGAAGAAUCAAGUAACUUCAACCAAGAGGCAACACCAAGACUUCAGCAAUUUGAGUGAAGCCAUCUUGGACCUUCCACCCCAGUUAAGUGAAGAUAGCUGACACAUCAUAAAGCAGACUAGCCAUCUCCGCUAAGCCCUUCCUGAAUUCCUGGCAACAGAACUGUGAGCAAUAAAACAUCUGCUGUUUUUAGUCACUAAGUCUUGAAGUGGUUCAUUAUGAAGCAAUUGAUAAUUUAUAAACAAAUUAAUAUUAUUUGGUUUUUUGCUUUGUAAAAUUG